UGCUAUGACCAUAUCAGCCUGAAUGUUCCUGAUCUCAAGUGAACUGACGCUAAGCAGGGUUGGUCCUGGUUAGUACUUGGAUAGGAGAGAUGGUCCGUGCAAGUAGGGGCCCUGAAGC
Molecule: ribosomal RNA, 118 nt
Filed under: Prolemur simus (greater bamboo lemur)
Lineage: Eukaryota; Metazoa; Chordata; Mammalia; Primates; Lemuridae
Source: RNAcentral